UACGUAGGGACCAAGCGUUGUUCGGAUUUAUUGGGCGUAAAGGGCGCGUAGGCGGCUCGGCACGUCCGUUGUGAAAUCGCCCGGCUCAACUGGGCGGGGUCAGCGGAUACGGUCGAGCUUGAGCAAGCUAGGGGGUAAUGGAAUUCCCGGUGUAGUGGUGGAAUGCGUAGAUAUCGGGAGGAACACCAGUGGCGAAGGCGGUUACCUGGGGCUUUGCUGACGCUGAUGCGCGAAAGCGUGGGGAGCGAUCCGG
This 253-nucleotide ribosomal RNA is filed under the name uncultured bacterium. RNAcentral's name for it is "partial 16S ribosomal RNA". It matches the Rfam family "Bacterial small subunit ribosomal RNA", at positions 524 to 776 of the family's 1533-position model. The record is from RNAcentral.